RNAcentral lists this unclassified non-coding RNA (813 nucleotides) under Hevea brasiliensis (rubber tree). The record is from RNAcentral. Lineage: Eukaryota; Viridiplantae; Streptophyta; Magnoliopsida; Malpighiales; Euphorbiaceae.
AUUGGGUUGGCAAUCCUUGCAUUUUGGCUUGCUGUCCAUGAAUAUGUUGAUGACUUCAUUGUCUCAGGACAAAAUGUUACGACCUUCUGGGCUGCCCUAAGCUUCUUGUUGCUUUUUGCUUAUCCAACUCCUGAAUUUCCUACUCCAAGUUUUGAGUACCAUACAGCCUUCAAUGGUGUUGCAUUUGGAAUUGUUGCUGGGAUUCAGCAAACAUACCACCAGUUCCACCAUGAAGCUGUACCACGCAUAUUUACCCAACUCACUGUCCCUGCCUUUUUGGGAAGAGCGCUUGUAGGAAUACUAACAAUACUCAUUGUGAAGUUCUGUAGCAAGGCCCUGGCAAAAUGGGUUCUUCCUGUGGUAUCAAACACGUUGAGCAUUCCCAUAAAAUCAACUAGUUAUAUACCCAUGCUAAAUGGAUCGGUAAGUGUUAAAAAAUCCGAUGAGAUCAAGCAAUCAGGUUAUAUCCAAAAGUUGCUAUUCUUCUUCUCUCACCAGAAUUCAUUUGAUGUGGAUACGGGUAUUAGAUUCCUCCAAUAUGCUGGUCUUGCUUGGUCAGUGGUUGAUCUAGUUCCUUCUCUUUUCACCCAUUUGAGGUUGUAAACUUGUAAUGCUCGGUGGCUAUUGUACUGUAUAUGCUUAGGGUGGUUUCUUUCUUUCUUUUUCCUUUCUCUUUUGUUUUUUGGAGGGGAGGCUAAGACUUUCAUCGGUGAUUAGCAAUUUAGCAUGGCUUUAAUACAUUUUAAUUUUGUAAAUUAAGUAAUUUUGUUCAGGUAGAACUCCAAUCGUUCUUCCCACUUACCUACUUCUAAU